Molecule: small nuclear RNA, 106 nt
Organism: Tupaia belangeri (northern tree shrew)
Lineage: Eukaryota; Metazoa; Chordata; Mammalia; Scandentia; Tupaiidae
Source: Ensembl
GCCUUCUUUGGCAAUACAGAUAGAAAAAUUGGAUUGAUACGUAGAAGAUAAUCAUGGCCCCUGACCAAAGAUAACAUGCAAAAUUCAUGAAGCAUGCUAUAUAUUU